RNAcentral lists this ribosomal RNA (468 nucleotides) under uncultured bacterium. RNAcentral describes it as "partial 16S ribosomal RNA". It matches the Rfam family "Bacterial small subunit ribosomal RNA", at positions 28 to 507 of the family's 1533-position model. The record is from RNAcentral.
GACGAACGCUGGCGGCGUGCUUAACACAUGCAAGUCGAACGGAAAGGCCCUGCUUUUGUGGGGUGCUCGAGUGGCGAACGGGUGAGUAACACGUGAGUAACCUGCCCUUGACUGUGGGAUAACUUCAGGAAACUGGGGCUAAUACCGGAUAGGAGCUCCUGCUGCAUGGUGGGGGUUGGAGAGUUUCGGCGGUUGGGGCUGGACUCGCGGCUUAUCAGCUUGUUGGUGGGGUAGUGGAUUACCAAGGCUUUGACGGGUAGCCGGCCUGAGAGGGUGACCGGCCACAUUGGGACUGAGAUACGGCCCAGACUCCUACGGGAGGCAGCAGUGGGGAGUAUUGCAGAAUGGGCGGAAGCCUGAUGCAGCAACGCCGCGUGCGUGAUGACGGCCUUCGGGUUGUAAACCGCUUUCGCCUGUGACGAAGCGUGAGUGACGGUAAUGGGUAAAGAAGCACCGGCUAACUACGUG